Molecule: ribosomal RNA, 143 nt
Filed under: uncultured eukaryote
Lineage: Eukaryota
Description: partial 18S ribosomal RNA
Rfam family: Eukaryotic small subunit ribosomal RNA
Source: RNAcentral
UGGUGGAGCGAUUUGUAUGGUCAAUUCCGAUAACGAACGAGACUCUAGCCUACUAAAUAGUUCGGGGACCCCCACAAAGGGGCCCCGCUUCAACUUCUUAGAGGGACAGGUGGCGUUUAGCCACACGAGAUUGAGCAAUAACA